NNAAUACAGAGAAGAUUAGCAUGGCCUUCUGCGCAAGGAUGACACGCAAAUUUGUGAAGCAUUCCAUAUUUUU
This 73-nucleotide small nuclear RNA is filed under the name Ochotona princeps (American pika). The record is from RNAcentral. Lineage: Eukaryota; Metazoa; Chordata; Mammalia; Lagomorpha; Ochotonidae.